UUGGCCGUCUGUUUGUGGAUGAAAACUGGUGGAGACAUUUAAUCGAGUCCCCAAGAGGCGAAACAAUUCUGACCAGAAGGAGCCUAUGAAUCGGCCAUCUCGAUCGCUAAUAAUGCUCUUUGGGAUCCCCCAGUAUUUCACAAUAUUUUUGAAGAAGGCACGGGCCGUAUCCUCAGCUGAACAGUAUCUUGACAUCGGCACAAAAGUUCCAUAUUUUGAGAAUCUAUCAAUUAUCACCAAGAUAUGGUCAUAUUCCCCCACUCUUGGCAACCUAGCAACGAAGUCUAGAGAAACACUUUCCCAUGGUCUACUUAGUACUGAUAAUGAUUAUAACAAUCCUACAAGUUUUUGCCGUUCCAUCUUAUCUUGCUGACACACUAGACAAGUUUUUGUAUACUCUCUCACAUCAUCUUCCAUUUGAGGCCAAUGAUAACCAUAUUUUAACAAAGCUAGUGUGCGUUGCCAGCCUAGGUGACCCAUUCAUAAACUGUCAUGGCAUUCUUAAAGUAAUAGUUUCCUUAAGUUUCCCCAUUUUGGAACAUACACUCUAUUUUUUCGAGUCAUUAGAAGAUUGUCCUCUUGCCAAAACUGUCUAGUCUUUCACUCUUCUGCUAACUUCAUUAGACCCAUGGCUUGGGGGGUCAUUCUUCAGGUUGUCUCGAAUUUAUUCUCGCAAUGCAGUAGCUGCCCUAUUACUUGAAAAUUGUGUUGUCUGUUAAUAAGUUGACACAUUUGACUUCCUACUUAAAGCAUUUACAA
RNAcentral lists this unclassified non-coding RNA (759 nucleotides) under Hevea brasiliensis (rubber tree). Lineage: Eukaryota; Viridiplantae; Streptophyta; Magnoliopsida; Malpighiales; Euphorbiaceae. The record is from RNAcentral.